Rana temporaria (common frog) is the source of this 285-nucleotide long non-coding RNA. RefSeq lists it as uncharacterized. Lineage: Eukaryota; Metazoa; Chordata; Amphibia; Anura; Ranidae. The transcript is spliced from 3 exons. The record is from RefSeq and is a predicted model, not a curated record.
ACUGCGACUUUAAAAACACACACGUUGACAACGGGAAUGGUUUUGAAAUAAAUCCUAAUGUGACUUGCAAAUGGCAUUACCAGCCUUGCCAGUGCCCAUUUGCUCCUCAUGGCUAUCCACAUCAAAAUAGUGAAGGUUGUUAUCAGUGUGGUCAUGAAAAGUAUUGGAAUCCAGAUACAAAGACAUGUGAGCCUUGUGAUACGCCAACAAGCACAACAUCGGCACCAACUACUACUCCUGUAUCUACUACAUCAACUCAUUCUACAACUCCAACACCAGACUCAA